This is a long non-coding RNA of Felis catus (domestic cat), 742 nucleotides long. RefSeq lists it as uncharacterized. NCBI's taxonomy places the organism in Eukaryota, Metazoa, Chordata, Mammalia, Carnivora, Felidae. The record is from RefSeq and is a predicted model, not a curated record. The transcript has 2 exons.
ACCUAAGGAGAGAACAGAAAAACAAGGGGGGAGAUGGUGAGUUUGUGAAACAAGAGUAAGAAACCCAUCGAACAAACAAACAAACAAACAAUGUCUCAGGUGAUUAGUUUAUCCAAAAAGAAACAAAACUUACAAAUCUUAAACCCCUUCCAGAGGAGACCUUUUUAAUCUUAUGUUCUUUUGAAUCCUCCGCCCACAAGGACCAUGAUUCAUUGCUAGAGAAUCCCAUGCCUCCUCUUCAGCGGCAUAGACAUCGUCCCCCACUGUCACAGAGGCAGAGCUGCGGAAAGUAGCCCCCAGAAUUGUAUGCCAUCAUCUCCCAAUCGCGCUUCGCCUUCUCUAACAGGGCAAGUGAAGCAUUUAACCCUACUGGCCUUAUUCAUACAAAGAAAAAAAAAACAAACAAACUACAACCAAACCCAACAAAAGUCAUCCCUGAAUUACUAAGAUGAAGAAAAGGCAAUUUAUGCCAUUCGGACAAGUCAAGACAAGGGAAAAGAAAUUCUUCAAACCUACUUUCAUUUCACAAUCAAGGCAGUUUCCUAAGGCGCCUCCUGUUUGCAUCUUUACACGUGCACCGAGCUGUACAAUUUACAAGGCUCUCUCACACUUAUUUAUUGUUUCAUUUGGCCCUCGUGUUGUGAGGUAGGCGGAACGGGGACAAUAAUCUCCAUUUAACAGAUGAACACACUCCAGAAUAAUUUGCUCAACGUCACAUAACUAAUAAAGACUUGAACCCAGA